Molecule: transfer RNA, 89 nt
Filed under: Pleuronectes platessa (European plaice)
Lineage: Eukaryota; Metazoa; Chordata; Actinopteri; Pleuronectiformes; Pleuronectidae
Rfam family: tRNA
About the family: Transfer RNA (tRNA) molecules are approximately 80 nucleotides in length.
Source: Rfam by way of RNAcentral
GGAUCUCUGGUGCAAUAGGUAGUGCAUUAGACUUUUUGACAAUAAGUCAAGUAAUUCAAAGGUUGAGGGUUCGAGUCCCUCCAGAGUCG